GACGAACGCUGGCGGCGUGCUUAACACAUGCAAGUCGAACGAUGAAGAAAAGAAUUGAAGCUUCGGCAGAAAUUCAUUUCGGAUUAGUGGCAGACGGGUGAGUAACGCGUGAGCAACCUACCUCUUACAAAGGGAUAGCCUCGGGAAACUGGGAUUAAUACCAUAUAACAUUGCGACGAAGCAUUUCGAUGCAAUCAAAGCUACGGCGGUAAGAGAUGGGCUCGCGUCCCAUUAACCAGAUGGUGAGGUAACGGCUCACCAUAGUAACGAUGGGUAACCGGCCUGAGAGGGUGAACGGUCACACUGGAACUGAGACACGGUCCAGACUCCUACGGGAGGCAGCAGUGGGGAAUAUUGCACAAUGGAGGGAACUCUGAUGCAGCGACGCCGCGUGAGUGAUGAAGGAAUUCGUUUCGUAAAACUCUGUUCUAUGGGAAGAAAAGGACUGUACCAUAGGAGAAAGCUCCGGCUAAAUACGUG
RNAcentral lists this ribosomal RNA (480 nucleotides) under uncultured bacterium. Its description in RNAcentral is "partial 16S ribosomal RNA". It matches the Rfam family "Bacterial small subunit ribosomal RNA", at positions 28 to 507 of the family's 1533-position model. The record is from RNAcentral.